GAGGAAACUGCACAUUGAUGGAUGGAAGGCAAAUAGGAUUGGUGACGAGGGUUUAGUAGCGGUUGCCAGAAAUUGCUCUAACCUUCAAGAACUUGUUCUCAUCGGAGUGAAUCCCACCAAGGUUAGCCUGGAAAUAUUGGCCUCGAAUUGCCGAAAUUUAGAGCGGUUGGCAUUGUGCGGCAGCGAUACUGUUGGUGAUAG
Molecule: unclassified non-coding RNA, 201 nt
Filed under: Hevea brasiliensis (rubber tree)
Lineage: Eukaryota; Viridiplantae; Streptophyta; Magnoliopsida; Malpighiales; Euphorbiaceae
Source: RNAcentral